UUUAAACAUAGUCAUGAGUUUUCGUAUCCAACUUUAAUCGUCUGUCCUAUUUAAAAAAAAUUUAUGGUUAGUAUUUUUAUUGUUAAUAUAUGAUAAAAUAUGAAUAGUACUUUAUGUGUGACUUACGUUUUAAAUUUUUUUAAAAGAAUCAAAUAAAACGGCCGAUCAAAGUUAGAUAAGGUCCAUACGGAAACUUAUGACUGCGAUAAAA
Oryza meridionalis is the source of this 211-nucleotide non-coding RNA. The record is from Rfam. NCBI's taxonomy places the organism in Eukaryota, Viridiplantae, Streptophyta, Magnoliopsida, Poales, Poaceae.